AAAGAUUAAGCCAUGCAUGUCUAAGUAUAGCAUUAUACCGCGAAACUGCGAAUGGCUCAUUAUAUAAGUUAUCGUUUAUUUGAUAGUACCUUACUACUUGGAUAACCGUGGUAAUUCUAGAGCUAAUACAUGCUAAAAAUCCCGACUUCGGAAGGGAUGUAUUUAUUAGAUUAAAAACCAAUGCCCUUCGGGGCUCACUGGUGAUUCAUGAUAACUCCUCGAAUCGCAUGGCCUUGUGCCGGCGAUGGUUCAUUCAAAUUUCUUCCCUAUCAACUUUCGAUGUUUGGGUAUUGGCCAAACAUGGUUG
Molecule: ribosomal RNA, 307 nt
Filed under: uncultured Fusarium
Lineage: Eukaryota; Fungi; Ascomycota; Sordariomycetes; Hypocreales; Nectriaceae
Description: SSU rRNA
Rfam family: Eukaryotic small subunit ribosomal RNA
Source: RNAcentral